This 298-nucleotide ribosomal RNA is filed under the name Ornithostaphylos oppositifolia. Its description in RNAcentral is "partial 28S ribosomal RNA". It matches the Rfam family "Eukaryotic large subunit ribosomal RNA", at positions 323 to 622 of the family's 3401-position model. The record is from RNAcentral. Lineage: Eukaryota; Viridiplantae; Streptophyta; Magnoliopsida; Ericales; Ericaceae.
UGGGCGAGAGACCGAUAGCAAACAAGUACCGCGAGGGAAAGAUGAAAAGGACUUUGAAAAGAGAGUCAAAGAGUGCUUGAAAUUGUCGGGAGGGAAGCGAAUGGGGGCCGGCGAUGCGCCUCGGUCGGAUGUGGAACGGUGGAAGCCGGUCCGCCGAUCGACUCGGGGCGUGGAUCGGUGCGGAUUGGGACGGAGGCCAAAGCCCAGGAAGUCGUUAAGCCUGCGGAGACGCCUUCGCCCCGAUCGUGGCUGGCAGCGUGCGCCUCUUCGGCGUGCUUCGGCAUCUGCGCGCUCCCGG